UACGGGGGGGGCGAGCGUUGUUCGGAAUUACUGGGCGUAAAGGGCGCGUAGGCGGCCUGGGAAGUCUUGGGUGAAAGCCCCCGGCUCAACCGGGGAAGGGCCUGAGAAACCACUGGGCUGGAGUGCUGGAGAGGAAAGCAGAAUUCCUGGUGUAGCGGUGAAAUGCGUAGAGAUCAGGAGGAAUACCUGCGGCGAAGGCGGCUUUCUGGACAGACACUGACGCUGAGGCGCGAAAGCCAGGGGAGCAAACAGG
RNAcentral lists this ribosomal RNA (253 nucleotides) under uncultured Acidobacteriota bacterium. RNAcentral's name for it is "uncultured Acidobacteria bacterium partial 16S ribosomal RNA". It matches the Rfam family "Bacterial small subunit ribosomal RNA", at positions 524 to 776 of the family's 1533-position model. The record is from RNAcentral. Lineage: Bacteria; Pseudomonadati; Acidobacteriota.